UACGGGGGGGGCAAGCGUUGUUCGGAAUUACUGGGCGUAACGGGCUCGUAGGCGGCCAACUAAGUCAAACGUGAAAUCCCUCGGCUUAACCGGGGAACUGCGCUUGAUACUGGAUGGCUUGAGAUUGGGAGAGGGAUGCGGAAUUCCAGGUGUAGCGGUGAAAUGCGUAGAUAUCUGGAGGAACACCGGUGGCGAAGGCGGCAUCCUGGACCAACACUGACGCUGAGGAGCGAAAGCCAGGGGAGCAAACGGG
Molecule: ribosomal RNA, 253 nt
Filed under: uncultured bacterium
Lineage: Bacteria
Description: partial 16S ribosomal RNA
Rfam family: Bacterial small subunit ribosomal RNA
Source: RNAcentral